GAAGGGAUUGCUUUUAUUAUAUGGGACACACAUUGUCACAUGAUGUUGAAGAGUGUUAUCACACGUGUAUUUGCCAAAAUGCAAUAUAUGUAAUUAUAUAUUUCAUUGUAUAAGAAAUAAAAUCUUUGGCAGGGUUACCCAAUGCAUUGAAUAAUCUGAUGACAUUUUAUGGACAUUUUGGAGCUGGCAGAAACUUUGUAAUGAUCUAGCUUUCUCAUUUUUAUGACAGAGGAAACAAAAGUAGAAAGAGCUAACUUACCCUGUCCCACAGAGAGCCAGAGACUGACGGGAGAAUCACACUCACAUCUCUGGCUUCUUCCCAGUGGCCUGCGGGGAUGUAUUCCAUUUGUGGAUGAGACUCCUGAAGCUUUUGAAAAGCGAAACCUUUGAUGGACAGCCAAGGUCAUGUGACUGGUGUUUUUAUACAAUAUGGGAAGGGCACUUUAUUUGUUCUUGGAGAUAGACACCUUGAAAGCUGGAUAGAGCUAUGCCUACUAGGUGGAGAGAUGAAUGACCUUCAGGAGCUCUUCCAGCUUUUUGGAACGAGGAAAGCUUCCUACAGGACUGGAGGAGUAGGAGAGUGUAAUGUGAGAGACCCCUGGACCAGAGUCACCUUGGCGUCUUCUGACAUGCAGCGUGUCUGAGUCAUAAACUCUGGACUCAUCUCAGGGCUGGGCAGGGUUUUCAAAUCAUUUGCCACUCCCUGUCCUAAUGACUGGAACUUUGGAACACAUCUGUGAGAAACAGGUGAGA
RNAcentral lists this long non-coding RNA (753 nucleotides) under Ictidomys tridecemlineatus (thirteen-lined ground squirrel). RNAcentral's name for it is "lncRNA (ENSSTOG00000031009.1)". Lineage: Eukaryota; Metazoa; Chordata; Mammalia; Rodentia; Sciuridae. The record is from RNAcentral.